RNAcentral lists this ribosomal RNA (270 nucleotides) under uncultured bacterium. Its description in RNAcentral is "partial 16S ribosomal RNA". It matches the Rfam family "Bacterial small subunit ribosomal RNA", at positions 29 to 320 of the family's 1533-position model. The record is from RNAcentral.
AGCGAACGCUGGCGGCAUGCUUAAUACAUGCAAGUCGCACGGCCGGGGGCAACUCCGGCAGUGGCGGACGGGUGAGUAACGCGUAGGAAUCUAUCCAUGGGUGGGGGAUAACGCCGGGAAACUGGUGCUAAUACCGCAUGACACCUGAGGGUCAAAGGCGCAAGUCGCCUGUGGAGGAGCCUGCGUCCGAUUAGCUUGUUGGUGGGGUAAUGGCCUACCAAGGCGAUGAUCGGUAGCUGGUCUGAGAGGAUGAUCAGCCACACUGGGACU